RNAcentral lists this non-coding RNA (29 nucleotides) under Rattus norvegicus (Norway rat). Lineage: Eukaryota; Metazoa; Chordata; Mammalia; Rodentia; Muridae. The record is from RNAcentral.
UUACAUAGGAUUAAAUGGUUCCACGUAUU